AAGCACCAUGCUUAAACUGAGUUCCACCACCAGGAAAAGUAAGAUAUUCACCAGUAACCUUAACCCAAUUCUGGUGCCCCUUAACCUCUGCAAGCUUGGUAUGGGGAACAUUAUAGUACCAUAUCUUUUCCCUGCUUUUAGGCCACUUAACUGAACGUCUAUAUCCCUCAGGUAUAGGAACCAGACAUGUGGGAGCUUCUUCAGGGCAGUGCCUCUCACGAUGUUCAUAAUGCUUUGUGCUUGGAAGCCUUCUGAUAAUUUGCCAAUUGUCAAGGCAAGGAAUGUAGUCUGGACCAGCAGUGGCAUUACAGAGCUUCCAGGUAUGAGCAAAUCGGUCCUUAGAAAUUGUAGAUUGUUGUGAUUGCUUUUCAUUCUGUGACUCUACCGCUUGAGUCGACCAAGCACCAUUUUGAGCAUCAGUUUCAUUUAAAAUUUCAGACUGGGAACCAGUAGGGAAAAUCUCAUCUGAAGCCUGGUUUUUUUCUUGACUUUCCACAUUGUUCUCACUAGCACUUUGCUCCACCUGACUACCAUCUUUUUCUUCCCGCCUAUUUUCAUCUAAACUGUCUCCCAUGUCUAAAUUCUUGCCCCCCUCAUCAGACUCAGAUUUAUUUUCACCAGAGGCCUCCUCUGAUUCUGUUUGCUCAUUUUUCUUCAUUUCACCACCUUCAGCUUGCGUCUGUCUAGUUUCUCCAUCUCCUGUGUUUUCACCUCCAUCAUUUUCAGCCUCCUCUUUUGGCCCCUCUUGAGACUCAGUCUUCCCGUCCUGGUUUUCUUCCUUAUUCUUGGACUCAAUCUUCAUAUCAGUGCCUUCUGUCUCAACCUUCUCUUCCUUCUUACCCUCAACUAUAAUCCCAGUCUCUAACGCGUUCUCACUUUGAUCAUCCUGAGUAUCAGAUUUGUUUUCACUUUGAGAAUAAAUGGUAUUGCCAUCGUUUUUCAUUGCAUCUUCUGGUAAAUCGCCUGAACUGUCUUCAAAUUGCUUAGAAUUACUUUCAAUGCCUGUUCCUUUGACCUCAUUUACUGUCUCUUGGGAGGAUAAGUUUGAAUCAUGAACUGGAACAACAGAAGAUGACAUUAACAUCCAAACUCCAACUAAACAAAAGGCAACAAACACAACCACAACGAUUGUUGAACAGUAGCCUGAUGACUUCCUCCCAUCAACACGGGAGUACUUCCCCAUGGCCAUGCCUCUUUCGAUAAAGAUGCCCUUAGUUUUAUAUGCCCUUUUUAGCCAAAGACUUGCUAAAUUCGGAUCUGAGUGAAGAAAGCAAGCAAAAGAAACCCUCGCCUUUUACUCUCCUUGUUCUCCUUUCAGAGCAAGGGAUAAAGAAAGAAGAGUGAUCGUUGGCGGAAUCGUGCUAAGCAUUGAGGUUUUUAUGGCAAAGUUUUUCUUUUUUUAUUAAAAAAAAAAGAUAUUAUUAUAACAGCUAUAAAGUGCGAGUGAAAAUAGUCCAAAGAGUGAGAGAAAGAACAGCCAACGGGGAAUUCUGGAAAGCAAUGAAACCAGUUGGAUGAUAACCGAGUGAAAAGAAGAGUCAAUAUUUG
RNAcentral lists this unclassified non-coding RNA (1548 nucleotides) under Hevea brasiliensis (rubber tree). The record is from RNAcentral. Lineage: Eukaryota; Viridiplantae; Streptophyta; Magnoliopsida; Malpighiales; Euphorbiaceae.